Molecule: long non-coding RNA, 1502 nt
Organism: Leguminivora glycinivorella
Lineage: Eukaryota; Metazoa; Arthropoda; Insecta; Lepidoptera; Tortricidae
Exons: 2
Source: RefSeq, a predicted model, not a curated record
AGAACCUAUAAUGGAAAGAAUAUAAUAUGAGAUUAACCUUGUAAUAAUACUUGCAUAGAACUAAAUGUGUGAUAUUAUAUAGAGAUAAUUUAGUGACUUUGUAAGUCAUAGUUACCCUUUUUUAAUACAGAUCUUGAGAUGCCAGCCAUGCUGACCAGUGUGGAGGCUACGACGACAGCGGUUAGAGAAAGGCUCUAACAGUCAUUCCAUACAUGCAGUAUAGCCACUGCUAACUAAAGGUAUGAAUCAUUCCUUUGCUUGACUGACGUUUAUACAGAUUGAGUUAUAAUGAUAGCAGUCAUAGUCAAUAAUCUUUGGAGAUGAAUUCAGGCAAUGUUUUAAUUCUUUUUGUUCCAAACUUAUUCCCCAGAGUUUGGAACAAAAUUGGUUGAGUUAGUCUGGGAUAUUUGGUAGUGGCUGGGGAGACACUGCCAGAAUCACAGAGAGUAGAGUCAAAAGUACAAUUUGAGUAUCUGAGAAAUUGCAUAAAGACGUCAGUUCAUGGGAUGUGUGAUUCAUAUCAUUUAAAAUUAUUUAUUUGUGUUCUACAUUCAUCAAUUUAAUGAAAAAUAGGUUUAACAGGUACUAGAAGAAGCUGAUUUGAAACUAUUAAUGUCAUCUAGCGUCGAGUAGAAGUGAUAGCCACGAGAUGGACACAGAAAUUGGCAGCAUAGCAUUUACGUUAUGUGUGUUAUAAUAAAGAUAUAUUGCUCUUUUAUUUAAGCAUGAAUGUACGAAUUGUAUACUUAUUUUAUUGUGAUUUCCCUUCAUACCAAUUAUAUGUAGAAAUAUUGGUAAAGAAUGUUUAUUUGUUGUUCGACAAAGUGAGGUUGACAAUUGGUGCAAGUUUACGAAGUUUGAUAAGUACAAGUUUACGAAGUUUGUAGAGCUCAAGUUUACGAGGUUUGUUAGUACUUACAACAUUUUAUUUUCAAAUGCUUAUUAUAAAUUAAUAAAUAUGUUAAACAUUAACAAAAUUAAUACACAAAUAAAAGGACAAAUAAUUGCUUUCUGUAAUUAUUGGUUCUUAAAACAUAAAUGAAAAAUCGAUGUGAUCGAUAAACACGCAUAAAAAACAGUCGAUUUACGAACGUCUGUCUUUGACAUAUGACAUUAAAGGAUUGAAAAUAUUGUUACCGGCGAAAUAUGUAUAUAAAUAAAAGUGAAAUUACUUGUUGAUUACCUGAAAAUAUGACGGGGAGUCCGUUUCUACACAGGGAGGUAGUACCAGGAUAAAUCUACGCUAAUUCUAGCCACUGUGGUCCCAAUGCAGACAUUCGGUUUUAUGGCUCAUUGGGAAGCAGGCACAGCAAAGAGGUUUGGGGUUUAAUCCCUAGCAAGGACGCCCUUGUGGCGAUAUGAACGCCCUUGGGGCAAAAUGUUGAAAGACUCGAUCUUGAGAUGCCAGCCAUGCUGACCAGUGUGGAGGCUACGACGACAGCGGUUAGAGAAAGGCUCUAACAGUCAUUCCAUACAUGCAGUAUAGCCACUGCUAACUAAAG